This 1473-nucleotide long non-coding RNA is filed under the name Equus asinus (donkey). RNAcentral describes it as "lncRNA (ENSEASG00005027514.1)". The record is from RNAcentral. Lineage: Eukaryota; Metazoa; Chordata; Mammalia; Perissodactyla; Equidae.
AAAGAAAGAAAGAAAGAAAACCUUUCUCUUCUGCUUAGGAUACACAGAUCCAAAAUGCGUUCAUUGUCUGCUCAACUUCUCUGUUUUGGUCUGGCACAGUGCUACAGCUCCCAGCAAAAGGCUUAGCUUUCUAAGCUUGCCAAAUGAAUGCUGAUGGAUGAAUGUAUGAAAAGGUGCCAAAUGAAUGCUGAUGCAUGAGCGUCUGGCCCUCUUACCUAGACUAAGCAGGGAGAAGCAUGAGCUGAAUGUCCCCUCAAAAAUAGAAAACCUGUGAACAGAUGAAAGAAAUAGAAAAGAAACAGAUAACUGAAUUUUUACCUCUACCUCCAUUUUUCUGUAGGCCUAAACUCCUUCUGCCAAUGCUUACUUUGGGUGCCUUAAAGAACAAGAAUCUACACAGCACGCACCUACAGGGAAUCUCUGUGAAGAUUGCCGCACCGGCUUAGGUUGUAUAUUGCUUGGUAAGACAUGGCUGAAUAUUUUCUGUCAACUCACUAUGCUACACUUAGCAUGGAAGACAAUAUUCCCAGUUCCAUAAUUCCCUCACACUAGCAUUCUGAAUACUGCGGUUUUUUAACUUAUGCUAAUAUAAUGUGUAAGGAAAAAAAAAAUAAAGGCUACAAACCCUGUGAUCAGCAGCAUUUUUAUAACAUCUUUUACCUGUUGUGGUAAAACCUUCAUGUUUCGUGAAGACCCAUGGACUAUGAAGGGGUCUACACAGCUCUGCAAAGGUGAGAGAGAAGACAAUUUUUUUGACUGUGUGGAUCCCUCCAAUUCAGUCUUCUCUUUAGAAAUGGAAAUAUUGAGGAACUGGUCUUUUCUUGGUUCUUAUAUCUUUAUUCUUUCACCCCUAAUUCCCUCAAAUGUUCCUUCCAACACACUCAGACACACGCAUUCACACACACUCAAAGUCACACUCACAUAUGCAUGAGAAAGAAGGUAAGUUUUGUCACAAGUAUCAAAGACCCAAAAUCAUUGUGCCUUAGAGGAGAUCGAAGUUUGUUUUUCUCUAGGGUAAAAACCUGGAUGUGGGCAAAUCAAGCUGUGCUCCACAAAGUGGAGUUGCCACCUUGCUACUCCACCCCGUGUGCACCCAUUCCCAAGGGCGCGACUCCAGCCACCUUAUCUGCAGAGCAGCCAGCAGGAAGGGCACAGGCAGGAGGACGGGGAAAGGGCAGGGAACCAAGCAUCUGUCCUCCAAGGAAAUUUCCUAGGGCUUCACAAGGCACAUCUACUGACGCUCUUGGCCUGAAUCUAAUAACAAGACCACGCUCAGCCUCAGUGGAAGCUCAGAAACGUCAUUUUGACUUUUCACAGUGUGUUCCCAACUGAUACAGUUAGGUGUUAUCACUGACAACAGAGGGGAGAAUGAAUACCAGCGGACAACUAACAACCGCCAUGGGGGGGUCCUCCUACCAUCCCUCCGGUGAUAUAACGUGGGCGGUUCCAUUCUCAGAGGUUUCCGGCACAUUC